Molecule: ribosomal RNA, 433 nt
Filed under: uncultured bacterium
Lineage: Bacteria
Description: partial 16S ribosomal RNA
Rfam family: Bacterial small subunit ribosomal RNA
Source: RNAcentral
AACGAACGCUGGCGGCAUGCCUAACACAUGCAAGUCGAACGAGACCUUCGGGUCUAGUGGCGCACGGGUGCGUAACGCGUGGGAACCUGCCCUUAGGUUCGGAAUAACUCCCCGAAAGGGGUGCUAAUACCGGAUAAUGUCUUCGGACCAAAGAUUUAUCGCCUUUGGAUGGGCCCGCGUUGGAUUAGCUAGUUGGUAGGGUAAAAGCCUACCAAGGCGACGAUCCAUAGCUGGUGUGAGAGGAUGACCAGCCACACUGGGACUGAGACACGGCCCAGACUCCUACGGGAGGCAGCAGUGGGGAAUAUUGGACAAUGGGCGAAAGCCUGAUCCAGCAAUGCCGCGUGAGUGAUGAAGGCCUUAGGGUUGUAAAGCUCUUUUACCCGGGAUGAUAAUGACAGUACCGGGAGAAUAAGCUCCGGCUAACUCCGUG